UGGUGGAGUGAUUUGUCUGGUUAAUUCCGUUAACGAACGAGACCUCGACCUGCUAAAUAGACCCAGCAACCCUUGGCUUCGGCCAAUCCGGGUUGACUCUCUUAAUUUGGGUGCUUCUUAGAGGGACUAUCGGUGUUUCCUAGCCGAUGGAAGUUCGAGGCAAUAACA
RNAcentral lists this ribosomal RNA (168 nucleotides) under uncultured eukaryote. Its description in RNAcentral is "partial 18S ribosomal RNA". It matches the Rfam family "Eukaryotic small subunit ribosomal RNA", at positions 1299 to 1458 of the family's 1831-position model. The record is from RNAcentral.